This 253-nucleotide ribosomal RNA is filed under the name uncultured bacterium. RNAcentral's name for it is "partial 16S ribosomal RNA". It matches the Rfam family "Bacterial small subunit ribosomal RNA", at positions 524 to 776 of the family's 1533-position model. The record is from RNAcentral.
UACGGAGGGUGCAAGCGUUAUCCGGAUUCACUGGGUUUAAAGGGUGCGUAGGCGGAUAUAUAAGUCAGUGGUGAAAGCUCCGGGCUUAACUUGGAAACUGCCAUUGAUACUGUAUAUCUUGAAUGUCGUUGAGGUAAGCGGAAUGUUGCAUGCAGCGGUGAAAUGCUUAGAUAUGUUACAGAACACCAAUUGUGAAGACAGCUUACUAAGCGAUGAUUGACGCUGAGGCACGAAAGCGUGGGGAGCAAACAGG